GAUGAACGCUAGCGGCAGGCCUAACACAUGCAAGUCGAGGGGCAGCGGGAGUGCUUGCACUCGCCGGCGACCGGCGCACGGGUGCGGAACGCGUAUCGAAUCUGCCUCUAUCUGGGGGAUACCCCAUGGAAACGUGGAAUAAUACCCCAUAGUAUUACUUUUUCGCAUGAUUUAGUAAUUAAAGAAUUUCGGAUAGAGAUGACGAUGCGUAUCAUUAGCUAGUAGGUAAGGUAACGGCUUACCUAGGCUACGAUGAUUAGGGGUCCUGAGAGGGAGAUCCCCCACACUGGUACUGAGACACGGACCAGACUCCUACGGGAGGCAGCAGUGAGGAAUAUUGGACAAUGGUCGAAAGACUGAUCCAGCCAUGCCGCGUGCAGGAUGACUGCCCUAUGGGUUGUAAACUGCUUUUAUACGGGAAGAAAAACACCUACGUGUAGGUGACUGACGGUACCGUAAGAAUAAGGACCGGCUAACUCCG
Molecule: ribosomal RNA, 481 nt
Filed under: uncultured Flavobacteriaceae bacterium
Lineage: Bacteria; Pseudomonadati; Bacteroidota; Flavobacteriia; Flavobacteriales; Flavobacteriaceae
Description: bacterial SSU rRNA
Rfam family: Bacterial small subunit ribosomal RNA
Source: RNAcentral